GAAAAUGGAGGAGUGAGAGAGGGUAUGUCAAGAGGAGACUAAGAGGUUGUUGCAGCAGGUGCGGGUGCGGGUCGAUAAGGAGCAAGAUGAGCGAGAGAGGUUGGAUGGGGUAGAGCAAAAGAAGGCGAAUGUUGAGGAGUAUGAGAGGAUAUCCGUGAAAUGUACCCCUGAUGUGCUUGAGGUAUAAGUAUAAGUUAAAAUAUUCAUGUUGUAUGUUGUUCUUAUUAUUAUUUGCGUUUUAACUUUUGUAUUGUAUUUUUG
This 261-nucleotide long non-coding RNA is filed under the name Lathyrus oleraceus (garden pea). RNAcentral describes it as "Pisum sativum (pea) long non-coding RNA (PSAT_LNC027331)". Lineage: Eukaryota; Viridiplantae; Streptophyta; Magnoliopsida; Fabales; Fabaceae. The record is from RNAcentral.